RNAcentral lists this long non-coding RNA (676 nucleotides) under Vulpes vulpes (red fox). Its description in RNAcentral is "lncRNA (ENSVVUG00000021905.1)". Lineage: Eukaryota; Metazoa; Chordata; Mammalia; Carnivora; Canidae. The record is from RNAcentral.
CUCCCAGGUUUCUAGCAGGCCAAGGGCAGGGCCUGGUCUAGAAUAGAAAGUUGACAGACAACAGAACACCGUGCCUGAGCAGGACUGAGAGAAUGGAAAAACUGAUCCACAGGAGGUCCACCCUGCCAACUCAGCGGCAGUUGGAGGAAGUGCUUUCAAAAUAUAAUGUGUGGAGGCUGGCAGACCAGCACGGGAAGACCUGCCAAAGCUUGCAAGUUCCCUAUCGGAGACGGGGUAGAUUCCACAUGGCUAAAUCAUAGCUUUUCAAAAGAUCACAGUCGUUUCUCUUUUCCUCUGAUGAAUGACCAGAUGAGCAGAGAUGGCAAACAUCUUAUGAGGCGCUGUCUACAAGGUGGAUUAUCCCGGGGAGCUUCACGGUCUCUAGAUGUAAACAUGGAUAUGUAAGGUUACGGAGCCACUGCAUCUGAGAACGAAAGGACCGUCACUUCAAUUGCAAAGACCAGGAUUCUUUCUUCUCAGUUUGAAUCCUUUCUUCCUACUCUUCUGAACGAGAGGUCCUGACAUCAGAAUACUUUUCCUGGAACAAAACCGAAGGAUGCCUGGCUGUGCCUGGCCACAGUGUGUUUCUCCAUGGGGUAUGAAAAUCUGGAAAACUGCAGGAAUUCUGCUCCCCCCAUACCUGUAAUAAACCUAAGGAAUCUGUUUUGUGCCUCCA